GGAAAAUAAGGCAGCCUCCUCUAAAUUAUAUCCAAAAAAAAAAAAAUUAAAAAGUUUUUUCUUUAGCCGUGUCCCUCCUGGGAACUGAUUUCUGCAUAGAUUUUUCUUUCCCUUUGGCCCUCCCCGGGAAUUGAUUUUUCCCAUUCAUGUCUUGUACAACUGGCGUGGAAAAUUUUGUUUUGCGGGAAAAAAUAUUUUACAAACACAAAACUGUUAAAAGUUGAGUUGGAAUCAUUUUCCUUGAGGAGA
RNAcentral lists this unclassified non-coding RNA (249 nucleotides) under Hevea brasiliensis (rubber tree). Lineage: Eukaryota; Viridiplantae; Streptophyta; Magnoliopsida; Malpighiales; Euphorbiaceae. The record is from RNAcentral.